CCUACGGGAGGCAGCAGUGGGGAAUAUUGCACAAUGGGGGAAACCCUGAUGCAGCGACGCCGCGUGAGUGAAGAAGUAUUUCGGUACGUAAAGCUCUAUCAGCAGGGAAGAAAAUGACGGUGCCUGACUAAGAAGCCCCGGCUAACUACGUGCCAGCAGCCGCGGUAAUACGGAGGGGGCAAGCGUUAGGCGGAUUUACUGGUGGUAAAGUGAACGUAGACGGCAGGGCAAGUCUGAAGUGAAAUCCCAGGGCUUAACCAUGGAACUGCUUUGGAUACUGGGCAGCUAGAGUGCAGGAGAGGGAAGCGGAAUUCCUAGUGUAGCGGUGAAAUGCGUAGAUAUUAGGAGGAAUACCAGUGGCGAAGGCGGCCUACUGGACUGUAACUGACGUUGAGGUGCGAAAGCGUGGGGAGCAAACAGGAUUAGAUACCCCAGUAGUC
This 440-nucleotide ribosomal RNA is filed under the name uncultured bacterium. RNAcentral's name for it is "partial 16S ribosomal RNA". It matches the Rfam family "Bacterial small subunit ribosomal RNA", at positions 338 to 795 of the family's 1533-position model. The record is from RNAcentral.